This 253-nucleotide ribosomal RNA is filed under the name uncultured bacterium. RNAcentral's name for it is "partial 16S ribosomal RNA". It matches the Rfam family "Bacterial small subunit ribosomal RNA", at positions 524 to 776 of the family's 1533-position model. The record is from RNAcentral.
GACAGAGGGUGCAAGCGUUGUUCGGAAUUACUGGGCGUAAAGGGCGCGUAGGCGGCCCGCUAAGUCGAACGUGAAAUCCCCGGGCUCAACCCGGGAACUGCGUCCGAUACUGGCAGGCUUGAAUCCGGGAGAGGGAUGCGGAAUUCCAGGUGUAGCGGUGAAAUGCGUAGAUAUCUGGAGGAACACCGGUGGCGAAGGCGGCAUCCUGGACCGGCAUUGACGCUGAGGCGCGAAAGCGUGGGGAGCGAACAGG